This 425-nucleotide ribosomal RNA is filed under the name uncultured bacterium. RNAcentral describes it as "bacterial SSU rRNA". It matches the Rfam family "Bacterial small subunit ribosomal RNA", at positions 354 to 796 of the family's 1533-position model. The record is from RNAcentral.
GUGGGGAAUAUUGGACAAUGGGCGCAAGCCUGAUCCAGCCAUGCCGCGUGAGUGAUGAAGGCCUUAGGGUUGUAAAGCUCUUUCAGUGGGGACGAUAAUGACGGUACCCACAGAAGAAGCCCCGGCUAACUUCGUGCCAGCAGCCGCGGUAAUACGAAGGGGGCUAGCGUUGUUCGGAUUUACUGGGCGUAAAGCGCACGUAGGCGGAUCGUUAAGUCGAGGGUGAAAUCCUGGAGCUCAACUCCAGAACUGCCUUCGAUACUGGCGAUCUUGAGUCCGGAAGAGGUGAGUGGAACUCCGAGUGUAGAGGUGAAAUUCGUAGAUAUUCGGAAGAACACCAGUGGCGAAGGCGACUCACUGGCCCAAUACUGACGCUGAGGCGCGAAAGCGUGGGGAGCAAACAGGAUUAGAAACCCCUGUAGUCC